GGUUUCUUUAGCUUAUCUGGUAAAGCGCCGGUCUGUGGAACCGGAGAACAGGGUUCGAUCCCCGGAGAAACCC
Molecule: transfer RNA, 73 nt
Filed under: Chryseobacterium indologenes
Lineage: Bacteria; Pseudomonadati; Bacteroidota; Flavobacteriia; Flavobacteriales; Weeksellaceae
Also listed under: 1 other name
Description: tRNA-His(gtg)
Rfam family: tRNA
About the family: Transfer RNA (tRNA) molecules are approximately 80 nucleotides in length. Their secondary structure includes four short double-helical elements and three loops (D, anti-codon, and T loops). Further hydrogen bonds mediate the characteristic L-shaped molecular structure. tRNAs have two regions of fundamental functional importance: the anti-codon, which is responsible for specific mRNA codon recognition, and the 3' end, to which the tRNAs corresponding amino acid is attached (by aminoacyl-tRNA synthetases). tRNAs cope with the degeneracy of the genetic code in two manners: having more than one tRNA (with a specific anti-codon) for a particular amino acid; and 'wobble' base-pairing, i.e. permitting non-standard base-pairing at the 3rd anti-codon position.
Source: RNAcentral